This is a long non-coding RNA of Triticum aestivum (bread wheat), 398 nucleotides long. RefSeq lists it as uncharacterized. The record is from RefSeq and is a predicted model, not a curated record. The transcript is spliced from 3 exons. Lineage: Eukaryota; Viridiplantae; Streptophyta; Magnoliopsida; Poales; Poaceae.
GUCGGGCGAGACGGCGCAUCCAUAACAGAUCAAAAUCGAUUGCAUCGCAUCCAGAGCCGGCGGCGGGCGACGAGCCUUCCGAGUUCCGAUUAACUUCGUCUGAACUCUGAUGAAUAUGUUCCUGUCGCAAUCACCAAAACAGGGAUCGUUACUGCGUUAGAGAUCGGUCCUUGCCUCCUUGGUUAAGUAUCAUAGUAUAGCAGGACAUGAAACGAGGAAGAAGAUUGAUUACGAGGAUAUUUGAAGAUUUCAAUUCUUAAAGUACUAUAAAAGAAUGAUUUGUUCAAAUAAAUAUUAUGCAACCAGGAGUUGAAUAGGUAAAUUUUUUAAUUAUGUAUCUAAUUGUUAUGUAAGACAUUGUAUCAUAUAUAUUAUUAUUGCUCGUUUGUUUCUUUUUA